GACCGAGGGUGCAAACGUUGUUCGGAAUUACUGGGCGUAAAGCGCGUGUAGGCGGCCCUGCAAGUCGGGUGUGAAAUCCCACGGCUCAACCGUGGAAGUGCACUCGAAACUGCAGGGCUAGAGUCCUGGAGAGGAAGGUGGAAUGCUUGGUGUAGAGGUGAAAUUCGUAGAUAUCAAGCGGAACACCGGUGGCGAAGGCGGCCUUCUGGACAGUGACUGACGCUGAGACGCGAAAGCGUGGGGAGCAAACAGG
This 253-nucleotide ribosomal RNA is filed under the name uncultured bacterium. RNAcentral's name for it is "partial 16S ribosomal RNA". It matches the Rfam family "Bacterial small subunit ribosomal RNA", at positions 524 to 776 of the family's 1533-position model. The record is from RNAcentral.